AAGCCGGGUGCGCGCUGCCGGGGCCGCCGGGCAGAGGUGCUCGAGCCCCGAGCCCGAGGGGCUCCCACGCAGCUCCCACGAGACCGGGAGAAAGGCCCGAGCGCCCGCCCUACGCGUCCCCCUCGCGAAGGCGCUCGAUCGUGGCCGGUCCCCUUCAGGAAGCCGCGAGCGUCACCAACUGCGUCAGCUUCUUCAAACACCGUGCCCUGUCUCUCUCCAGCCCGGGAGCCGCCACCGCGGGGUUAGGGCCGCGGGCCGCGCUGGCAGGCGCGUCUCGGGGAGGAGAAAGUUCCCGGGGACCUUCCCGUCGCCCGCUCGGCCCAGCCGCCCCGCCCGCACCCGUGCCCUGGCGUGGGCAACUUGGGACCCCCGGCUGCGCGCGGCCCCCGCAGCCCGCUGAGCUCGCAGGGCUCCCGCGGGGGAUCUAGCCCAGGGCCCAGCGGAAGAACAGCCGCGCUCGAAAGUUCCCAAAGCCGGGAAGCCACCGGGGUCCCCGAGCAUCGCUCUUACCUAGCUCUCGGGAGGCCACGUUCCGGGCGGGCCGCACGGGGCGCGUGGUGCACGAGCGCGCGCGCGUGGGGCGGUAGCUCUCGAGGCAGAAGUCUGACACCAGGGUGCUGUUGAGGCCCGAGUUCUGUGAGAGUACACCUCCUUUCAGGAAUGCAAUUGGUCAAUUCCUUGCAUCUUGGCAGUGGAAAGAGGGUUUCUUUCUGAAAUCGGGUCUCAGCACCACUCUAGGGAGAGGAGAAUACGUCACGGUUAAAUGCGCUGGUGAGAAACCAAGACUCAGAGAAGCCACAUAUCAGAGGAGUGCUACAUGACCUAUAACAAGAGGAAGCCUGAGGCAAUCCCAAGACAUAUCCUUCAUUUCUUCUUUAUGAGUUGAGUUAGGACACCUGAAAAUACUACUAUGUAAAAUGUAUAAGUACCUUCUCCCAAAAUGGUAAAGUUUUCAUAUUAGUGUUUUUUUUUUAAAUACAUAUUUCCGGAGGGAUAGGAAUUUCAGGAAUGAAAAAAAUCAUGCACAGGCAGAUAAGAGUGGUGAAGAACUGGGUUGUAUCACUUGAUGAUCCUAUUUCUUUCCUAGGGGUCCUUGCUGAAGUAUCUGCUGCACAGUACAAUCUCAACAAUGUUGAUGGCAGUGAUGCCUUCAGAAAGUUAAGUAACAAACCAUGGCCGUCAUUUUCACUGUCAGUGCUGAUAUGCCAGGAAGAAUUCGAACAAAUUGAUGAAUGUCACUGUGAUCAGAUACCUGACAAAAAAACAAUGUAAAGGGGAACGGGUUUAUUUUAGCCCCCGGCUUGGAGAAACACAGUCCAUCAUGGAAGCAAAGGUGUGGAGAUGGUGGAAGUGGCUUCACGAUGCAGACCAGGAAGCAAAGAAGAGAAUAAAUGCUAAUAUUCAGCUGGCCUUUUCCUCUUUUCCUUUUUAUUCAGUCAGGGACAUGAACCCAUGAGAUGGUGACACAGACAUUCAGGGAAGUUCUUACCUCCUCAGUUGAGCCUCUCUGGAAAUUCCUUCAAGAUACAUCUAGACAUGUGUCUCCUGGGUGUUUCAAAACUCAACUGAGUUGAUGAGGUAGCCACAAUAUACAUGUUGACAUGAAGGGCAUAUAUAAAACAUUUAUAGGCAUAGAGAAAUUACUUUGAGAGUUUCUUUCCAAAUCAGUUUUGAUCAU
This is a long non-coding RNA of Peromyscus leucopus (white-footed mouse), 1678 nucleotides long. RefSeq lists it as uncharacterized. Lineage: Eukaryota; Metazoa; Chordata; Mammalia; Rodentia; Cricetidae. The record is from RefSeq and is a predicted model, not a curated record. The transcript has 5 exons.